Long non-coding RNA from Haplochromis burtoni (Burton's mouthbrooder), 698 nucleotides. RefSeq lists it as uncharacterized. The record is from RefSeq and is a predicted model, not a curated record. NCBI's taxonomy places the organism in Eukaryota, Metazoa, Chordata, Actinopteri, Cichliformes, Cichlidae. The transcript is spliced from 2 exons.
CCAACACUAAAAAAAGAAACAAGUUAGGACUCAGUAUUAUAAUAUUAUGAUCAUGGAGGUCUUUAAUUAUUAUAUCAAAGUCCUGUUUAAAGGGCUUGAAUAAGAAUGUUUUACAUGUAGUGUAUCAAUUUUCUUGUCUACAGAUCUUAUACAAUUCUGUUAUUAUGAUACAUUUUGUAUUUAUUUUGUCAUAUAUCCACAAAAAUGGGCUAGGUAAGUACUCUCAACUUAUAUAAAUUUGUUUUAUUUAUUGAUUUUUUACAUUUCUCAUGCCAAUAGUAUGAAGUACCUUCUGCAGGAUGAAAAGGAACAAAUUUUAAUCAAGAGUUGGCAGCAGAAAGCAGGAAUAAAAAGGACCCAAUAUGCUGAACAAUGAAUGAAUGUUGUCUCACCAAUGCCUGCUUGAGAGGUAAUCCAUGUUAGCCGGAGAAAGAGGAUGACACCCCAGAUAUUCAGCAUGCAACGCAUCUAUGAUAAAAAGAAAAGAAAAAAAAUGUCUUUUUUGUUUUGUUUUAAUUGUUCCUUUUUUUAGUUAGUCUUCUAUCCAUUUGUAUGUUGUAGACUUAAAUACACAAAAGCUUUGUUCACCCAGACUGCAAUAAACCAGCCAAAUCUAGUAGGCGGUUUCCCUGGAGGACCUUGGGGUUCUUCAUUUUCAUCCUCUGCGGCGGCAUCAUCUGCGGCAGCCUUUUCUGCUU